Molecule: non-coding RNA, 878 nt
Organism: Rattus norvegicus (Norway rat)
Lineage: Eukaryota; Metazoa; Chordata; Mammalia; Rodentia; Muridae
Source: RefSeq, a predicted model, not a curated record
UUACGUGAACACUCACAGAGAAGUGCUAUUCUCAGCAUUAAUCAGAGAAGCUUCCCUUUCAGUGAAAGGGUAGUGAAUGCAGAUGCCCGUGGCUGCUCUAGGUGCUAAAAAUAAGUGACAGUUGAGUGUUCGGCCAUAAAUAGAACAUUUAUGUGAUUCCAAACCCCUAAGGCUCAGAUAACAUCACUAAAGAGAAGACUUAGAGAAUGCAAGAGCCGGAAUAUAAGGAGAAGGACUGCAAAUAAAUUCUUAUGGGCACCAACCUGCCAUUGUGAUCAUGUUCUUACAGCAGGCCUAGUGGCUCGCUUGUACUUGGCCCGCAAAGGACAUGGCCUGUCAACAUCCAAUCUCAGAAGGGGGUGAAGAUCAAGAGGUCCUGCCCAUUUUGCUGAAUUAUUUUCUAUUGAUAGCCUGAGAAAGAUUCAUCGUAUCCAGUGGGAAGAUUAACAAGCUCCAGCACACUGGAAUGCCAUGGACCUAGCUGGAACGAUAGACUCAGCUAAGUUUCAAAACCAUAAAGCUGUUUGUCUGUGUACCAUCAAGCCAUCAUGUACAAACGAGCAAGGGACGUCAGGAUGGUUCUUAGUGAACUUCAGAAAGGACUCACUUCUCAACCCUGGACUAAGUCCUGGAAUCCACUACACAUGAAAGAUAGACCAAAGGCGAUGUGUACCUAGAAAUCCCCUGUCUUGCUUUUGGGUGGCUAUAUUUCUCAAUAUGGUUGCCUGCUCGCCCCCGAUCCCCUGCGUGUGUCUUAUUUCAGCAGCCUUCUUUUGACUCUUGCUUGGGAUUUCAGUGUGCUCAGGUCUUAUCUUCCCCUGUUAUUUUAACUUGCAUUUGCCUUAUACAGUGCUAAUAAAAGAGACAGUAAGAUUUUA